RNAcentral lists this ribosomal RNA (512 nucleotides) under uncultured bacterium. RNAcentral's name for it is "partial 16S ribosomal RNA". It matches the Rfam family "Bacterial small subunit ribosomal RNA", at positions 28 to 506 of the family's 1533-position model. The record is from RNAcentral.
GACGAACGCUGGCGGCGUGCUUAACACAUGCAAGUCGAACGAAAAGAGGGAAAGAGCUUGCUCUUUCCGGAAUUGAGUGGCAAACGGGUGAGUAACACGUAAACAACCUGCCUUCAGGAUGGGGACAACAGACGGAAACGACUGCUAAUACCGAAUAAGUUCCAAGGGCCGCAUGGCCCAUGGAAGAAAAGGUGGCCUCUACCUGUAAGCUAUCGCCUGAAGAGGGAUUUGCGUCUGAUUAGCUGGUUGGAGGGGUAACGGCCCACCAAGGCGACGAUCAGUAGCCGGUCUGAGAGGAUGAACGGCCACACUGGAACUGAGACACGGUCCAGACUCCUACGGGAGGCAGCAGUGGGGAAUCUUCCGCAAUGGGCGAAAGCCUGACGGAGCAACGCCGCGUGAGUGAUGACGGCCUUCGGGUUGUAAAACUCUGUGAUCCGGGACGAAAAGGCAGAGUGCGAAGAACAAACUGCAUUGACGGUACCGGAAAAGCAAGCCACGGCUAACUACGU